Molecule: non-coding RNA, 105 nt
Filed under: Lotharella globosa
Lineage: Eukaryota; Cercozoa; Chlorarachniophyceae
Source: RNAcentral
UAGACCAACACAAAGAAACGAGCGAACAAAAACGAGAAACGAACGAAACGAAGCGAAACACGGGAAACAUCUUUAUUAGUAUCGUCUACUAUUUUUUUUUUUUUU